AAGGUUUCUCUUCCUCAACUUCAGGUUUGACAACAAUUUCAACUUCAGUUUUCUGAGAUGGUGUUUCCUCUGUUUCUGUUGUAAUUUCAAGAGUUUCCUCAUAGGUAACUAUUGAUUCUUCAGUUGGGACUUCAGAAGGUUUCUCUUCCUCAACUUCAGGUUUGACAACAAUUUCAACUUCAGUUUUCUCAGAAGGUGUUUCUUUUUCCUCUG
Molecule: long non-coding RNA, 213 nt
Organism: Mytilus californianus (California mussel)
Lineage: Eukaryota; Metazoa; Mollusca; Bivalvia; Mytilida; Mytilidae
Exons: 3
Source: RefSeq, a predicted model, not a curated record